RNAcentral lists this ribosomal RNA (450 nucleotides) under uncultured bacterium. Its description in RNAcentral is "partial 16S ribosomal RNA". It matches the Rfam family "Bacterial small subunit ribosomal RNA", at positions 354 to 796 of the family's 1533-position model. The record is from RNAcentral.
GUGGGGAAUAUUGGACAAUGGGCGAAAGCCUGAUCCAGCCAUGCCGCGUGUGUGAAGAAGGUCUUCGGAUUGUAAAGCACUUUAAGUUGGGAGGAAGGGCAGUAAGUUAAUACCUUGCUGUUUUGACGUUACCGACAGAAUAAGCACCGGCUAACUUCGUGCCAGCAGCCGCGGUAAUACGAAGGGUGCAAGCGUUAAUCGGAAUUACUGGGCGUAAAGCGCGCAUAGGUGGUUUUGUAAGUUGGAGGUGAAAUCCCCGGGCUCAACCUGGGAACUGCAUCCAAAACUGCAUGACUAGAGUACGGUAGAGGGUAGUGGAAUUUCCUGUGUAGCGGUGAAAUUCGUAGAUAUAGGAAGGAACACCAGUGGCGAAGGCGACUACCUGGACUGAUACUGACACUGAGGUGCGAAAGCGUGGGGAGCAAACAGGAUUAGAAACCCCGGUAGUCC